RNAcentral lists this ribosomal RNA (252 nucleotides) under uncultured bacterium. RNAcentral describes it as "partial 16S ribosomal RNA". It matches the Rfam family "Bacterial small subunit ribosomal RNA", at positions 524 to 776 of the family's 1533-position model. The record is from RNAcentral.
UACGUAGGGUGCGAGCGUUAAUCGGAAUUACUGGCGUAAAGCGUGCGCAGGCGGUUUUGUAAGCCAGAUGUGAAAGCCCCGGGCUUAACCUGGGAAUUGCAUUCGAGACUGCUCUGCUAGGGUGCGGAAGAGGGAAGCGGAAUUUCCGGUGUAGCGGUGAAAUGCGUAGAUAUCGGAAGGAACACCAGUGGCGAAAGCGGCUUCCUGGUCCAGCACCGACGUUCAGGCACGAAAGCGUGGGGAGCAAACAGG